Etheostoma cragini (Arkansas darter) is the source of this 76-nucleotide long non-coding RNA. RefSeq lists it as uncharacterized. NCBI's taxonomy places the organism in Eukaryota, Metazoa, Chordata, Actinopteri, Perciformes, Percidae. The record is from RefSeq and is a predicted model, not a curated record. The transcript is spliced from 3 exons.
GUUAUUUUUGGGCAACUUGGUUCAAAGAAACCCAUACUUCUGAUGUAAAAAACUGGGGGAAUGUGACAACACAAGG